CCUACGGGAGGCAGCAGUGGGGAAUAUUGCACAAUGGGGGAAACCCUGAUGCAGCGACGCCGCGUGAGUGAAGAAGUAUUUCGGUAUGUAAAGCUCUAUCAGCAGGGAAGAAGCAAGACGGUACCUGACUAAGAAGCCCCGGCUAACUACGUGCCAGCAGCCGCGGGAAUACGUAGGGGGCAAGCGUUAUCCGGAUUUACUGGGUGUAAAGGGAGCGUAGACGGUAUGGCAAGUCUGAAGUGAAAGCCCAGGGCUUAACCCUGGGACUGCUUUGGAAACUGGUAGACUAGAGUGCUGGAGGGGUAAGUGGAAUUCCUAGUGUAGCGGUGAAAUGCGUAGAUAUGAGGAGGAACACCAGGUGCGAAGGCGGCUUACUGGACAGUAACUGACGUUGAGGCUCGAAAGCGUGGGGAGCAAACAGGAUUAGAUACCCCUGUAGUC
RNAcentral lists this ribosomal RNA (441 nucleotides) under uncultured bacterium. RNAcentral describes it as "partial 16S ribosomal RNA". It matches the Rfam family "Bacterial small subunit ribosomal RNA", at positions 338 to 795 of the family's 1533-position model. The record is from RNAcentral.